CCAACAGCUAGCCCACAAACACAACAACAACCAACCAUUAUUUAUAACCCCAAAUGCACGAAUGUUUUAAUUAAACAAACCAUUUUUCCCCUUUAGUAUGGGCGACAGAAAAAGGACCUAGGAGCAAUAGAGAAAGUACCGCAAGGGAAAGCUGAAAG
RNAcentral lists this ribosomal RNA (158 nucleotides) under Sebastes macdonaldi (Mexican rockfish). RNAcentral's name for it is "partial 16S ribosomal RNA". The record is from RNAcentral. Lineage: Eukaryota; Metazoa; Chordata; Actinopteri; Perciformes; Sebastidae.